RNAcentral lists this ribosomal RNA (485 nucleotides) under uncultured soil bacterium. RNAcentral's name for it is "bacterial SSU rRNA". It matches the Rfam family "Bacterial small subunit ribosomal RNA", at positions 27 to 490 of the family's 1533-position model. The record is from RNAcentral.
GGAUUGAACGCUGGCGGCAUGCCUUACACAUGCAAGUCGAACGGCAGCACGGGAGCAAUCCUGGUGGCGAGUGGCGAACGGGUGAGUAAUACAUCGGAACGUGCCCAAUCGUGGGGGAUAACGCAGCGAAAGCUGUGCUAAUACCGCAUAAGAUCUACGGAUGAAAGCAGGGGAUCGCAAGACCUUGCGCGAAUGGAGCGGCCGAUGGGCAAGAUUAGGUAGUUGGUGAGGUAAAGGCUCACCAAGCCUUCGAUCUGUAGCUGGUCUGAGAGGACGACCAGCCACACUGGGACUGAGACACGGCCCAGACUCCGUACGGGAGCAGCAGUGGGGAAUUUUGGACAAGUGGGACGAAAGCCUAGAUCCAGGCCAUCGCCGCGUGCGAGGAUGAAGGUCCUUCGGUUAGUAAACGUGUCGUUUUAGUACGGUAACGUAAAGUCUUACUUUACUAAGUAAAGAGGAUCAUGACGUACCGUAAGAAUAAG